This 1334-nucleotide long non-coding RNA is filed under the name Androctonus crassicauda. The record is from RNAcentral. Lineage: Eukaryota; Metazoa; Arthropoda; Arachnida; Scorpiones; Buthidae.
AUCUUUUUUUUAUAUAUAUAUAUAUAGAAUUUGUUAUCAAAUAAAUGCAAUUGUUAAACGAUAAUCCCAUCUAAAAACUAAAUCUUUCUGCAGCAAUUUUUAGUUUUUUGCGUAGGAAGAAAAACAUUUGUUGCUCCAUUUUUAUCAAUCGAUGUUUGGCAUAAUCCAUUAAAGAAUGCAAUCUAGUUAGUUAUCUGAUUGGAAUUAGAUCAGUUAAAAAAAAAAGAAGAGUUACAGUAUUCCAUGCCUGCUAACAAACGGUUAUUGUUUCCAGAUCGAUACUUCUCUCGUUGGAAACAACGAAGUUUAAUUAAUAAAUUUAUAUUCGCCCUCAUUUUUUUUGAAAAUUCUUCCUGUAAUUGACUUCCAAAAAUUCGCGUUUACCUUUUUAAAAUGCUGUGCACAGCAUAUUUACAAAGGUGAAUUAUUUAUGAGUUGUAACCCCGAAUUUUUUUUUUUUUUAACGUUACAAAUAAUAUGGAUUCGGUAUUUAAAAGCGCUUUUAACGUUACAAGAACGAAACCGCUCGUGUUUACUUUAGACCCCACACGCUUUAGUUAUAAAUUUUUUUAUUUUUUUUAUCGAGUUUUAAAACUUCACACGCAAAAUGCCAAACUCCAUUACAACGUUUCGAAAAUUUUCGAGUUUCCGAGCGUGUUGCAAAGAGAACUCGUUCAAUUCCGUUGAUCGUUUAUCUAAAUGGCUUUAUUCGAACUUCGAACAGGAAAGUGAGGAAGUUAUCGCGAAUUACGCCAUUGUUUUAAAAUAAUUAACUUGUUAAAUUGUUGUCGUUUGCGCCAUUGAAAGCGUUAUUGUACCAGCAAAAGUUCUUACAUACACGUCUACAGAAAAUACUGUGUAUAUAUAUGCAUGAGGCAUAUUUUUUCGUGAAGAAAUUGUAGGUGGAGAAUUGGCAAAACUUCGAAUUCCGAACACGUGGCUUUCCUCGAUUAUUAGAUAGAUAUUUUUGCUAUAUAGAGUGACCUUUACAACUAGGAAUAGCGUUUAUGAAUAUGGAUGGAGGCGAUAAAUUGAUGUAAUUAAUUAGAGUUAAUGGAAUGAAGAUUGCACGUCGUAUGCUGUUAAAAUUUGCGAAGGUUUUGCUCGUCACGUUGAUUUAUGAGAUUGAGAAGCUGCGUACGGUAUUUAUUUUCGUACUCUGCAUUUAUUUACUUGGCUAAUUUUAAUUCAAAUAUAGUAAUUUUUCGCGAAUAUCGUACACCGUCUUCGACUGUUUACGUAUCAUUACUAUAAAAGUACGAUAAGUGACGAGUAACGCAAUUAAAUCGAAAAAAAAAAAACAAAACAAAAAAGUUAUAAUUUACUAUCAUCCG